Molecule: long non-coding RNA, 1168 nt
Filed under: Scleropages formosus (Asian bonytongue)
Lineage: Eukaryota; Metazoa; Chordata; Actinopteri; Osteoglossiformes; Osteoglossidae
Description: lncRNA (ENSSFOG00015025150.1)
Source: RNAcentral
AGGAAACAAAGAAAGGCUGGAAAAUCCCAAAAUCUGGAGUGUAACUCCAGCGCGGCUCUGCGAUGCAGCUCGCAGCGGCUGUGACCAUCCCCACGGUGCGGAAGGACAGUCUGAAACUGCUCAUCCCAAGCAGGGUCGCGGUGAGCCGGAGCCUAACCCAGCAACACACAGUGCAUGGCUGGAGGGGGAGGGGACACACCCAGGACCGGACGCCAGUCCAUUGCAAGGCAACCCAACCAAGACUCGAACCCCAGACCCAGCAGAGAGCAAGAUCCAGCCAAACCCACUGCACCACCACACCACCGCAUCCCCCACAAAAGGAAUAGUGAGUCCAAUUAAAUCCAAAAGCCUGUUGUAACAUUUACCAGGGUCUUGUGGUGUUCAGUCCAUAGCUGCACAAUCCUGGACGCCUUUGUGUGUGACUGUGCGAGUGUGUGUGUGUGUGUGUGUGUGUGUGUGUGUGUGUGUGUGUGUGUGUGUGUGUAUGUGAGAGUGUGCACGUACUCUAUUGUUGUACUGAAAAUGACGACAGAGGUUCCAAUGACAAAUAACAAGUGACAUGCAUGAAUAGCACAAUCUGAGCAGUGAGGCCCAGAGCAAUGACUACAGCAGGUUCUUCAACUUUUAUUACACCUCUGGGAACUUAGAGAAGAACUUAAUUGGGUUUAAUUAAGACAAAAAAGAUGAAUCUGGUACUUCACUGCCUGGCCAAAGUAAAAAUGGAAAAAUUGUUCCGUCUUCAGUUAAAGUUUCCCUUGUUCGUGAUGAGUCCUGAUGGACCAAAUCAAAGGGAAAGGUCUUGGGUGGCAAAGAGUCUCAGGGGCAUUUCUGCACAUGAUGGCAAUGGAAGUGGAAUCCAAAACAAGCCAAAAAUCAGUGCAUGGUCUUGGCUGUACAGUACAAUAUAUAAAUGUAUGUAUUAAAGCACCAGGACAGAAAGUGUAGCAGUGUUUUAUCUCCAGUAUAAAAACUUGCACUCAGCUCCAUCCAUACAGGACAUCUAUUUGUCCUUUAUUACCAUGACACUUGCUCUUGUCAACAGCAUUUUUAAACUGUGUGUGUAUCUUCGUUGCAUAUUGUUUGCUGCUGCAGCCAAGUGGAACUUUCCUGUGGAUAAGUCUCUUCCAUUGAUUGAUUGAUUCAUUCAUUCAUUCAUUCAGGCAACAGA